RNAcentral lists this ribosomal RNA (507 nucleotides) under uncultured Desulfosporosinus sp. RNAcentral describes it as "bacterial SSU rRNA". It matches the Rfam family "Bacterial small subunit ribosomal RNA", at positions 44 to 530 of the family's 1533-position model. The record is from RNAcentral. Lineage: Bacteria; Bacillati; Bacillota; Clostridia; Eubacteriales; Desulfitobacteriaceae.
GUGCCAACACAUUAUCGGAACGCUGAAUGUUGGGUGUUAAGUAUUAGAUAGUGGCGGACGGGUGAGUAACGCGUGGGUAACCUACCCAUAAAGCCGGGACAACCCUUGGAAACGAGGGCUAAUACCGGAUAAUCUUAGAUGUUGGCAUCAACGUUUAAGGAAAGGUGGCCUCUGAAAAUGCUACCGAUUAUGGAUGGACCCGCGUCUGAUUAGCUAGUUGGUGGGGUAAAGGCCUACCAAGGCGACGAUCAGUAGCCGGCCUGAGAGGGUGAACGGCCACACUGGGACUGAGACACGGCCCAGACUCCUACGGGAGGCAGCAGUGGGGAAUCUUCCGCAAUGGACGAAAGUCUGACGGAGCAACGCCGCGUGUAUGAUGAAGGUCUUCGGAUUGUAAAGUACUGUCUUUGGGGAAGAACGAUCUCUUUGAGAAUAUUGAGGGGAUAUGACGGUACCCAAGGAGGAAGCCCCGGCUAACUACGUGCCAGCAGCCGCGGUAAUACGUAG